Molecule: ribosomal RNA, 253 nt
Filed under: uncultured bacterium
Lineage: Bacteria
Description: partial 16S ribosomal RNA
Rfam family: Bacterial small subunit ribosomal RNA
Source: RNAcentral
UACGUAGGGGGCUAGCGUUGUCCGUAAUCAUUGGGCGUAAAGCGCGUGUAGGCGGUCCGGUAAGUCCGCUGUGAAAGUCGGGGGCUCAACCCUCGGAUGCCGGUGGAUACUGUCGGGCUUGAGUACGGAAGAGGCGAGUGGAAUUCCUGGUGUAGCGGUGAAAUGCGCAGAUAUCAGGAGGAACACCAAUUGCGAAGGCAGCUCGCUGGGACGUUACUGGCGCUGAGACGCGAAAGCGUGGGGAGCAAACAGG